This is a long non-coding RNA of Cyprinus carpio (common carp), 1949 nucleotides long. The record is from Ensembl. NCBI's taxonomy places the organism in Eukaryota, Metazoa, Chordata, Actinopteri, Cypriniformes, Cyprinidae.
CUUCAGGCCCCCUUGCAGUGUCUUGUGGGCUAACGUGGAUUGCCCCUCCAUCCCUCCAGUCUUAGCGUCUUGUGGGGCUGGCAGGUAGGGGUUGCAUCUGGUGCCUUGGCUUGAGGCAGAAGUUUUAGAGUCUUGCAGAAGUGCUUGCCUAGGGAUGUGUAUUGUAAAUAGAGCUCCCUUUCUUAGCCGCCUUGGGUCCAGAGAUCCUUUCAGUGCCGUUUCAGAAAUCCCAGCCACCAAAUGUUCCUGUCACUGUUGCCCAUUUCACAGCUUUACUGCACAGCUUUACCCAGAGGUUCUUCACUUCAAAAGGUUCUCAUCACAGACAUCCACAUCAUAGAGAUCAUGUCAGUGCUGCUCCAGAAAUCAGUGAAUGCUGCCCUAAAGAUUCCUGAUGCUGCUGUUCCAGAACCUCCUGAACUCAGAGAGGUCAGAGUCCAGGGUGUCCGCGGGGUUUUAAAAAGUAUUAAAAAGUGAUAAAUCAAAAUUGUCAAAUUUAAGGCCAUUAAAAGUGUUAAAUGUGGUCUCAGAGGUAUUAUUUUUUUCCAAAUUAGGUAUUAUUUUUUCAGACUAUCAGGUGUCCUAUUCUGAUUGAAAUUCUAUCUGCGUUCGCGUUAGUUCGUUUAAAUAUGGGCUUUAGCAUAUCUGGGCACAUAAUCAAAGAUCUUUCGUCUCCGUCUCAACGUAUGUUUGAUGCUGACGUCAUAUUCAGUGGUCGUUCGGCAUCAUCUCAGAACACUGCACGCUCAACAGAAGUGGCUGGCUUACGUUUUAUUUUAGACUUGCUUCAAGGCAUAUCUUCAAGGCAUAUCUUCAACGACUGGACAACCAUCGACGUCUUCAUGGGCAAAUGCAAGUUUUCUAAUAGCUGGGUUAACGACCCAGCGUUUAAGGACUGGCUCAGGCCUGUAGUAGGGAAUAACAGGCAGGCUUAUUGUUCGGUGUAUAAAAAAAAAUUAAUGUCAACUGGAUGGGAGCUAACGCACUUCGGUCGCAUAUGCAAUCCACUAAACAUAAAAAUGGAAUGCGUGCUCGGAGAGAGCAGUUAAUUCUACCAAUCUCAGCUGUCUGUGCGACUGCACCUCCACCACCACCGCCGCAAAUUAGUGCCACUGAAGGCCUACUGGCCAACGCUACGGCUCCAGCAACGUCUGACCUCCGGGUGGUCAUGGGCGCCACACCAACACUGCGCGCGGAGGCUCUGUGGUGUCUGAACAUUGCAGUUAAUCACCACUCAUUGAACUCCAAUGAAGGAAUUUCGGAGCUGUUUAAAGAAAUGUUUUACAUCGCGAAGUCAUUCACGUGUGGUAAAGACAAAACCGGGUACAUCAUCAGAUUUGGAUUAGCAUCGUUCUUCAAAAAACAGUUUGUGGGUGGCAUCAACAAGGCUGGGCCAUUCGUGUUGAUGUUUGAUGAGAGCCUCAAUCAGGCGUCAAAGAAAAAACAACUUGACAUCCAUGUUCGAUACUGGGAGGAUGACCGUGUCCAAUCCAGAUACUUUGGAUAUCAGUUUUUGGGACAUGGAAGGGCCGAAUAUUUGUUGCAUCACAUAAAGGAAUGUCACACAAUUGAAUAUGAGGCAACUGCUAUCAGUUGGAAUGGAUGGCCCCAAUGUGAAUUUCAAGUUGGUGGAUCUACUCCAGAAAGAACAUGCAGAGCUCUAUGGAGGUGCCCAGGUUGUCACUGUUGGAAGCUGUGGACUUAUAGCACAAGUGCAAACAAUAGUUCACCAGUUCAUAGAAGAUGCCAGUUUGUGAAUCCGCAACAGUUCAUAGAAGAUGCCAGUUUGUGAAUCCGCAACAGUUCAUAGAAGAUGCCCGUUUGUAAUGCAUCAACUUGCAAUGAAUGCCAGCCAGUGUGCUGGAACUAUCCAUUCUCUCCAUUGCACAUUUUAUGUAAUUUGUUUUAUUUUUAUUUACUAAGUGAAAUAAAUGUGCAAUAUGUUGUCA